AUACGGAGGGUGCAAGCGUUGCUCGGAAUCACUGGGCGUAAAGGGUACGCAGGCGGUUCAUUAAGUCGGGUGUGAAAGCCCGGAGCUCAACUCCGGAACUGCGCUCGAUACUGGUGAACUUGAGUACGGGAGAGGGAAGCGGAAUUCCUGGUGUAGAGGUGAAAUUCGUAGAUAUCAGGAGGAACACCAGUGGCGAAGGCGGCUUCCUGGCCCGAUACUGACGCUCAUGUACGAAAGCGUGGGGAGCAAACAGGAUUAGAAACCCCUGUAGUCC
This 274-nucleotide ribosomal RNA is filed under the name uncultured bacterium. RNAcentral's name for it is "partial 16S ribosomal RNA". It matches the Rfam family "Bacterial small subunit ribosomal RNA", at positions 523 to 796 of the family's 1533-position model. The record is from RNAcentral.